CCUCCGUCCCACAAAGAAUCUAUUUUUCAAUUUUUGAUACGACUAUUCGUCUUAUUUAAAAACUUUUUAUGAUUAAUAUUUUUAUUAUUGUUAGAUGAUAAAGCAUGAAUAGUAAUUUAUGCAUGACUAUUUUGUAAAACAAUUUUUGUAAUUUUUUUAAAUAAGACGAACGGUCAAACGUUUGAGACAGAAACC
MicroRNA precursor from Oryza sativa Indica Group (long-grained rice), 195 nucleotides. It matches the Rfam family "MIR812 microRNA precursor family". The record is from Rfam. NCBI's taxonomy places the organism in Eukaryota, Viridiplantae, Streptophyta, Magnoliopsida, Poales, Poaceae.